CCUACGGGGGGCAGCAGUGGGGAAUAUUGCACAAUGGGGGAAACCCUGAUGCAGCGACGUCGCGUGAGCGAAGAAGUAUUUCGGUAUGUAAAGCUCUAUUAGCAGGGAAGAAAAUGACGGUACCUGACUAAGAAGCUCCGGCUAAAUACGUGCCAGCAGCCGCGGUAAUACGUAUGGAGCAAGCGUUAUCCGGAUUUACUGGGGGUAAAGGGAGCGUAGGCGGCUCUGUAAGUCUGAUGUGAAAAUUUGGGGCUCAACCCCAAACGUGCAUUGGAAACUGCAGGGCUUGAGUGCCGAAGAGGCAGGCGGAAUUCCUGGUGUAGCGGUGAAAUGCGUAGAUAUUAGGAAGAACACCGAUGGCGAAGGCAGCCUGCUGGACGGUAACUGACGCUGAGGCUCGAAAGCGUGGGGAGCAAACAGGAUUAGAUACCCGUGUAGUC
Molecule: ribosomal RNA, 440 nt
Filed under: uncultured bacterium
Lineage: Bacteria
Description: partial 16S ribosomal RNA
Rfam family: Bacterial small subunit ribosomal RNA
Source: RNAcentral